UACGAAUCGUCCAAACGUUGUUCGGAUUCACUGGGCUUAAAGGGCGCGUAGGCUGUGCGUUAAGUCGGUGGUGAAAUACUUCGGCUCAACCGGAGAAUUGCCGCUGAAACUGGCGCGCUAGAGGGAGGCAGAGGUGCAUGGAACUUCCGGUGGAGCGGUGAAAUGCGUUGAUAUCGGAAGGAACACCCGUGGCGAAAGCGGUGCACUGGACCUCUUCUGACGCUGAGGCGCGAAAGCCAGGGGAGCGAACGGG
Molecule: ribosomal RNA, 253 nt
Filed under: uncultured bacterium
Lineage: Bacteria
Description: partial 16S ribosomal RNA
Rfam family: Bacterial small subunit ribosomal RNA
Source: RNAcentral